UACAGAGGGGGCAAGCGUUGUUCGGAAUUACUGGGCGUAAAGGGCGCGUAGGCGGCCUGCUAAGUCGAACGUGAAAUCCCUGGGCUCAACCCAGGAACUGCGUCCGAUACUGGUUGGCUUGAAUCCGGGAGAGGGACGUGGAAUUCCAGGUGUAGCGGUGAAAUGCGUAGAUAUCUGGAGGAACACCGGUGGCGAAGGCGGCGUCCUGGACCGGCAUUGACGCUGAGGCGCGAAAGCCAGGGGAGCAAACGGG
This 253-nucleotide ribosomal RNA is filed under the name uncultured bacterium. RNAcentral's name for it is "partial 16S ribosomal RNA". It matches the Rfam family "Bacterial small subunit ribosomal RNA", at positions 524 to 776 of the family's 1533-position model. The record is from RNAcentral.